Molecule: ribosomal RNA, 533 nt
Filed under: uncultured bacterium
Lineage: Bacteria
Description: bacterial SSU rRNA
Rfam family: Bacterial small subunit ribosomal RNA
Source: RNAcentral
AAUAGAUACCCCGGUAGUCCAUGCCGUAAACGGUGGGCGCUAGGUGUGGGGUUCCUUCCACGGGCUCCGCGCCGUAGCUAACGCAUUAAGCGCCCCGCCUGGGGAGUACGGCCGCGAAGGCUAAAACUCAAAAGAAAUUAGACGGGGGCCCGCACAAGCGGCGGAGCAUGUGGAUUAAUUCGAUGCAACGCGAAGAACCUUACCUGGGCUUGACAUAUAGAGGAUCGCUACAGAGAUGUGGUUUCCCUUGUGGCUUCUAUACAGGUGGUGCAUGGUUGUCGUCAGCUCGUGUCGUGAGAUGUUGGGUUAAGUCCCGCAACGAGCGCAACCCUUGUCUUAUGUUUGCCAGCACGUUAUGAUGGGGCCUCGUGAGAGACUGCCGGGGUCAACUCGGAGGAAGGUGGGGAUGACGUCAAAUCAUCAUGCCCCUUAUGUCCAGGGCUUCACACAUGCUACAAUGGCCGGUAACAGAGGGCUGCGAUGCCGUGAGGCGGAGCGAAUCUCUUAAAGCCGGUCUCAGUUCGGAUUGGGGU